GAAGUAAAAAGUUUACAAUUAAUUUCGGCUUAAUAAUUAAGGCUUUCGUGCCUUC
Molecule: transfer RNA, 55 nt
Filed under: Bemisia tabaci
Lineage: Eukaryota; Metazoa; Arthropoda; Insecta; Hemiptera; Aleyrodidae
Description: tRNA-Arg
Source: RNAcentral